CGCGUAGGCGGAUGUUUAAGUCAGAGGUGAAAGCCCAGGGCUCAACCUUGGAAUUGCCUUUGAUACUGGACAUCUUGAGUACGGGAGAGGUGAGUGGAACUCCGAGUGUAGAGGUGAAAUUCGUAGAUAUUCGGAAGAACACCAGUGGCGAAGGCGACUCACUGGCCCGUUACUGACGCUGAGGCGCGAAAGCGUGGGGAGCAAACAGGAUUAGAUACCCUGGUAGUCCACGCUGUAAACGAUGAGUGCUAGUUGUCGGCAUGCAUGCAUGUCGGUGACGCAGCUAACGCGUUAAGCACUCCGCCUGGGGAGUACGGUCGCAAGAUUAAA
Molecule: ribosomal RNA, 330 nt
Filed under: uncultured bacterium
Lineage: Bacteria
Description: bacterial SSU rRNA
Rfam family: Bacterial small subunit ribosomal RNA
Source: RNAcentral